RNAcentral lists this ribosomal RNA (740 nucleotides) under uncultured Hyphomicrobiales bacterium. RNAcentral describes it as "bacterial SSU rRNA". It matches the Rfam family "Bacterial small subunit ribosomal RNA", at positions 8 to 796 of the family's 1533-position model. Lineage: Bacteria; Pseudomonadati; Pseudomonadota; Alphaproteobacteria; Hyphomicrobiales. The record is from RNAcentral.
AGAGUUUGAUCAUGGCUCAGAACGAACGCUGGCGGCAGGCUUAACACAUGCAAGUCGAACGCACCGCAAGGUGAGUGGCAGACGGGUGAGUAACGCGUGGGAACGAGCCCUUCAGUUCGGGAUAACCCAGGGAAACUUGGGCUAAUACCGGAUACGUGCGAGAGCAGAAAGAUUUAUCGCUGAAGGAUCGGCCCGCGUCUGAUUAGCUAGUUGGUAGGGUAAUGGCCUACCAAGGCGACGAUCAGUAGCUGGUCUGAGAGGAUGAUCAGCCACAUUGGGACUGAGACACGGCCCAAACUCCUACGGGAGGCAGCAGUGGGGAAUAUUGGACAAUGGGCGCAAGCCUGAUCCAGCCAUGCCGCGUGAGUGAUGAAGGCCUUAGGGUUGUAAAGCUCUUUCGGCGGGGACGAUAAUGACGGUACCCGCAGAAGAAGCCCCGGCUAACUUCGUGCCAGCAGCCGCGGUAAUACGAAGGGGGCUAGCGUUGUUCGGAAUCACUGGGCGUAAAGGGCGCGUAGGCGGCCUGAUAAGUCGGGGGUGAAAGCCUGUGGCUCAACCACAGAAUUGCCUUCGAUACUGUCGGGCUUGAGACCGGAAGAGGUCAGUGGAACUGCGAGUGUAGAGGUGAAAUUCGUAGAUAUUCGCAAGAACACCAGUGGCGAAGGCGGCUGACUGGUCCGGUUCUGACGCUGAGGCGCGAAAGCGUGGGGAGCAAACAGGAUUAGAUACCCCAGUAGUCC